UCCAUGAGCCAAUCGAAAGUCAUGUGAAUCGGUGCAGUAAAUGGAGUGAACAUGCUUCUCACUUUCAAAAGACACAAACAGAAUUAAAUGGGAAGAGCAGCGGCGACUACAGCGUUGCUAGAGGAAAACAUGUUAAUCAUUCAUCAUGAAAACCAAAAACUAUGAACAACCUUCAUCAUUUUUAGGAAAUGUUCCCAGCCCAAAAUCAGAAACGAGAAUUCCGAGAAAAAGAGACCCCUCUGCAAGGUGACGGCUCCCCCUUCUAAAACCUAGGACCAAAAAUGUCACUAAAAAUGGGGUGGGGUCCACCCAAAACCCUAGGGACAAGUCACCUUAUUUUUUCUAUUGGGCUUUUGCCUACUCUACAAAAUUAGCCCAAUUAUUACAAAACUUCAUUANCAAAAUCUAAAUCACUAAGCUAAGCUAGAUUAAAUCUAAUUUGCCUUGUGGAAAUUCUUCAAUUUGCUUGGUGCCCUUCCAAAAGUCCCAAAGUAUAGUUCCAAAAUUGCCCUGAAAAUAGAGAUAGGAAUAAUUAAGCUCAAAUAAUUCAAAUUAAUUAAAAUAUGAAUUAUUGGUCUAAUUAAGCCCAAAUGGUGAAAAUGACACAAUAACUAAGAAUUAAGCGCAAAUCAUCAACACAAUUCGGCGCGAAAAACUAAGUUAAUGGUAUAAAAUAUUGACUCAUCAAAAUAGACCACACUUAGUCUUUUGCACUCCUGGGCAAAAUCAAGACGCAAAACAGGGCACAGCAAUGAGGACAUCAGGAAGUGACACAGACACGACAGACAAACGACAACGACUCACAAGGACAACCACAGAGUUGCAUAGUUCUCACAAAAUCUGGACAGUGAAAGGCAUAGGCAGAGUUCCACAUGAAGUCAAUGAAAGCAGAUACUCACAGAAUCAUUCAAGCAGUUCAGUACAUGGAAAAUAGUCAAUCAGCUCGAGAGAUGAAUCAAAAGCAACAGAGCCUCACAGAUGCACAAAAUCGGUGUUUCUCUCAAGUGUUUAAGGUAAAUCAAUGUCACUCGAUGCACUCAAGAAAGCAAACACAAAUAGACUUGGCAAGCCUUUAAUAUCAACACUCAAGCACACAUGCAUGUUCAAAUCAAAAGGUCUUUUCAUGGUUGUAAUGGGACCAAGGAGAAGGGAGGAUAUCAUAUGGAUGAGAAGCUACAAACCAAAGGAAAUAGAGGAGCAAUGGGGAACAAGUGUAAACACAGUCAUAUCACACCCAAAACCUCUAAUUCAGUCCUCUUCUUGACUCCAUUAUUCACACAAUUUUUUUAUUUUUCCUCAUUUUUUCUGCAUUUUUUUUUCUUUUUUUUUCUUUUUUUUUUCAUCUUUUCUCUUUUCUUUUCUCUCUUUUCAGAACACAAUUCUAAGAGACAAGAUACAUGAUAUUUACAAUGCAACCGCAAGAAGAGGACUCACUAGCCAAUUCAUCUGCAACUCCUAAGAGACCACACUUAUUCCCAAAACAAUUCCAAAGCUCCAAAAUUCCGUAAGGUUCAGGUAAUCAUGGUUUUUCA
RNAcentral lists this long non-coding RNA (1532 nucleotides) under Vigna radiata. Its description in RNAcentral is "long non-coding RNA (VRAD_LNC001635)". Lineage: Eukaryota; Viridiplantae; Streptophyta; Magnoliopsida; Fabales; Fabaceae. The record is from RNAcentral.